CUCUUAUCAUGAGAGGUGGAGGGACUGGCCCGAUGAAGCCCAGCAACCGCCAAGCAGCAAAUCGCUUGGAAAAGGUGCUAAUUCCUGCAAAGCGAUGCUUUGAGAGAUGAGAG
RNAcentral lists this non-coding RNA (113 nucleotides) under Halalkalibacterium halodurans. RNAcentral's name for it is "Bacillus halodurans SAM-I sequence". It matches the Rfam family "SAM riboswitch aptamer (S box leader)". Rfam says of the family: The SAM riboswitch is found upstream of a number of genes which code for proteins involved in methionine or cysteine biosynthesis in Gram-positive bacteria. RNAcentral also lists the same sequence under 1 other name. The record is from RNAcentral. Lineage: Bacteria; Bacillati; Bacillota; Bacilli; Caryophanales; Bacillaceae.